RNAcentral lists this ribosomal RNA (872 nucleotides) under Klebsiella pneumoniae subsp. pneumoniae. RNAcentral describes it as "bacterial SSU rRNA". It matches the Rfam family "Bacterial small subunit ribosomal RNA", at positions 9 to 873 of the family's 1533-position model. Lineage: Bacteria; Pseudomonadati; Pseudomonadota; Gammaproteobacteria; Enterobacterales; Enterobacteriaceae. The record is from RNAcentral.
CCCAGUUUUGAAUCAUGGCUCAGAUUGAACGCUGGCGGCAGGCCUAACACAUGCAAGUCGAGCGGUAGCACAGAGAGCUUGCUCUCGGGUGACGAGCGGCGGACGGGUGAGUAAUGUCUGGGAAACUGCCUGAUGGAGGGGGAUAACUACUGGAAACGGUAGCUAAUACCGCAUAAUGUCGCAAGACCAAAGUGGGGGACCUUCGGGCCUCAUGCCAUCAGAUGUGCCCAGAUGGGAUUAGCUAGUAGGUGGGGUAACGGCUCACCUAGGCGACGAUCCCUAGCUGGUCUGAGAGGAUGACCAGCCACACUGGAACUGAGACACGGUCCAGACUCCUACGGGAGGCAGCAGUGGGGAAUAUUGCACAAUGGGCGCAAGCCUGAUGCAGCCAUGCCGCGUGUGUGAAGAAGGCCUUCGGGUUGUAAAGCACUUUCAGCGGGGAGGAAGGCGUAGGUUAAUAACCUCGAUUGACGUUACCCGCAGAAGAAGCACCGGCUAACUCCGUGCCAGCAGCCGCGGUAAUACGGAGGGUGCAAGCGUUAAUCGGAAUUACUGGGCGUAAAGCGCACGCAGGCGGUCUGUCAAGUCGGAUGUGAAAUCCCCGGGCUCAACCUGGGAACUGCAUUCGAAACUGGCAGGCUAGAGUCUUGUAGAGGGGGGUAGAAUUCCAGGUGUAGCGGUGAAAUGCGUAGAGAUCUGGAGGAAUACCGGUGGCGAAGGCGGCCCCCUGGACAAAGACUGACGCUCAGGUGCGAAAGCGUGGGGAGCAAACAGGAUUAGAUACCCUGGUAGUCCACGCCGUAAACGAGUCGAUUUGGAGGUUGUGCCCUUGAGGCGUGGCUUCCGGAGCUAACGCGUUAAAUCACCCCCCC